CCUACGGGAGGCAGCAGUGGGGAAUAUUACACAAUGGGGGAAACCCUGAUGCAGCGACGCCGCGUGAGCGAUGAAGUAUUUCGGUAUGUAAAGCUCUAUCAGCAGGGAAGAAAAUGACGGUACCUGACUAAGAAGCCCCGGCUAACUACGUGCCAGCAGCCGCGGUAAUACGUAGGGGGCAAGCGUUAUCCGGAUUGACUGGGUGUAAAGGGAGCGUAGACGGCUGUGCAAGCCAGAGGUGAAAGCCCGGGGCUCAACCCCGGGACUGCAUGUGGAACUGUGUGGCUGGAGUGUCGGAGAGGCAGGCGGAAUUGCUGGUGUAGCGGUGAAAUGCGUAGAUAUUAGGAGGAACACCAGUGGCGAAGGCGGCCUGCUGGACGAUGACUGACGUUGAGGCUCGAAAGCGUGGGGAGCAAACAGGAUUAGAUACCCUAGUAGUC
RNAcentral lists this ribosomal RNA (440 nucleotides) under uncultured bacterium. RNAcentral describes it as "partial 16S ribosomal RNA". It matches the Rfam family "Bacterial small subunit ribosomal RNA", at positions 338 to 795 of the family's 1533-position model. The record is from RNAcentral.